AGUCAAUAGAUACCCUGGUAGUCCCAGCCGUAAACGAUGUGCGUUAGGUGUAUCGGUGACCACGAGUCACCGAGAUGCCGAAGAGAAAUCGUGAAACGUACCGCCUGGGAAGUACGGUCGCAAGGCUGAAACUUAAAGGAAUUGGCGGGGGAGCACCACAACAGGUGGAGCCUGCGGUUUAAUCGGACUCAACGCCGGGAAACUCACCAGAUAAGACAGCUGAAUGAUAGUCGGGCUGAAGACUCUACUUGACUAGCUGAGAGGAGGUGCAUGGCCGUCGUCAGUUCGUACUGUGAAGCAUCCUGUUAAGUCAGGCAACGAGCGAGACCCACGCCAACAGUUGCCAGCUCGUCCUCCGGGAUGGAGGGGACACUGUUGGGACCGCCUCUGCUAAAGAGGAGGAAGGAAUGGGCAACGGUAGGUCAGCAUGCCCCGAAUUAUCUGGGCUACACGCGGGCUACAAUGGGUGGGACAAUGGGUAUCGACACCGAAAGGUGAAGGCAAUCUCCUAAACCCAUCCUUAGUUCGGAUUGU
This 534-nucleotide ribosomal RNA is filed under the name uncultured bacterium. RNAcentral's name for it is "bacterial SSU rRNA". It matches the Rfam family "Archaeal small subunit ribosomal RNA", at positions 725 to 1257 of the family's 1478-position model. The record is from RNAcentral.